RNAcentral lists this ribosomal RNA (253 nucleotides) under uncultured bacterium. RNAcentral's name for it is "partial 16S ribosomal RNA". It matches the Rfam family "Bacterial small subunit ribosomal RNA", at positions 524 to 776 of the family's 1533-position model. The record is from RNAcentral.
UACAGAGACUGCAAGCGUUAUUCGGAUUCACUGGGCGUAAAGGGUGCGCAGGCGGCCGUGUGUGUGAGGCGUGAAAGCCCGAUGCUUAACAUCGGAAUUGCACCUCAAACUACACGGCUAGAGCAUUGGAGAGGGUAGCGGAAUUCACGGUGUAGCAGUGAAAUGCGUAGAUAUCAAGAGGAACACCAGUGGCGAAGGCGAGUCCCUGGACAACACCUGACACUGAGGCACGAAAGCUAGGGGAGCAAACAGG